AUUGAACGCUGGCGGCAUGCCUUACACAUGCAGGUCGAACGGUAACGGGCCUUCGGGUGCCGACGAGUGGCGAACGGGCGAGUAAUACAUCGGAACGUGCCCGAUCGUGGGGGAUAACGAGGCGAAAGCUUUGCUAAUACCGCAUACGAUCUACGGAUGAAAGCAGGGGACCGCAAGGCCUUGCGCGGACGGAGCGGCCGAUGGCAGAUUAGGUAGUUGGUGGGAUAAAAGCUUACCAAGCCGACGAUCUGUAGCUGGUCUGAGAGGAUGAUCGGCCACACUGGGACUGAGACACGGGCCAGACUCCUACGGGAGGCAGCAGUGGGGAAUUUUGGACAAUGGGCGCAAGCCUGAUCCAGCCAUGCCGCGUGCAGGAUGAAGGCCUUCGGGUUGUAAACUGCUUUUGUACGGAACGAAAAGCCUUCUUCUAAUACAGGAGGGUCAUGACGGUACCGUAAGAAUAAGCACCGGCUAACUACGUGCCAGCCGCCGCCGUAA
RNAcentral lists this ribosomal RNA (498 nucleotides) under uncultured bacterium. RNAcentral describes it as "partial 16S ribosomal RNA". It matches the Rfam family "Bacterial small subunit ribosomal RNA", at positions 30 to 523 of the family's 1533-position model. The record is from RNAcentral.